GCGGGUGGGCUCCGGCCUGAAGACAUCAUCGCCCUGCAAGAGAUACCCGCCCGGAAGUUGGAAGAAUCGUACAGACAUAUUGCAACACGUGGCUGAUGUACUGAAUGUAGAGACUUCCGAUUAUAUUUCCGCCCGGAGAAGGGUUCGGCCUCGGAGCAGCGACCAAUCAGGACUCACAAAAGCAGCAGCCAAUCAGGACCCAGAGUAGCAGCCAAUCAGCGCUCCGCCCGGCGGGCCCAAUGGAGGAAGCGCGUGAUUGGCUGUUGAGCUGAUUCGAAAGCGGAGGUGGCGCCGGCGGAAGCGGAAGUCGUGGCUGUGGCGCUCUGAGAGGAAGAUGCUCCCGCUAUCGCUGCUGAAGACGGCCCAGAACCACCCCAUGCUGGUGGAGCUCAAAAAUGGAGAGACCUACAACGGGCACCUGGUGAGCUGUGACAACUGGAUGAACAUCAACGUUAGGAGCAAAUCCCACAGGACCGUGGCCAGACAAUCCAUAAAACUCACAACAAGCCAGAUACACACACACACACACACGCACACACUCCACUUGCCUCAUUUCCAACAGACCUCUGAACAAACUUCUUAGGACGCCUGCCACAUAUGCAGGCUAAAUGUUAGGAACAUGGUUGGACAGCCCGAAAGACUCACAACAAGCCAUAUGUAUAUAUAUAUACACACACGCACACACACUCCACUUGCCUCAUUUCCAACAGACUUCUGAACGAACUUCUGAGGAUGACUGCAACAUAUACAGUCUAAACGUUAGGAGCGAAUCCUACUGGAACAUGGCCGGACAGCCCAAAAGACUCACAACAACCCUGUGAUAUAUAUACACACUCCACUUGCCUCAUUUCUAACAGACCUUUGAACAAACCUUUGAGGAUGCCUGCCACAUAUGCAGGCUAAAUGUUAGGAGCAAAUCCCACAGGAACGUGGCCAGACAAUCCAUAAAACUCACAACAAGCCAGAUACACACACACACACACACACACACACACUCCACUUGUCUCAUUUCCAACAGACCUCUGAACAAACUUCUUAGGACGCCUGCCACAUAUGCAGGCUAAAUGUUAGGAACAUGGUUGGACAGCCCGAAAGACUCACAACAAGCCAUGUAUAUACACACACACACACACACACACACACACACACACACACACAGACUUCACUUGCCUCAUUUCCAACAGACCUCUGAACAAACCUCUUAGGACGCCUGCCACAUAUGCAGACUAAAUGUUAGGAACAUGGUUGGACAGCCCGAAAGACUCGCAACAAGCCAGAUACACACACACACACACACUCCACUUGCCUCAUUUCCAACAGACUUCUGAACGAACUUCUGAGGAUGACUGCAACAUAUACAGUCUAAACGUUAGGAGCGAAUCCUACUGGAACAUGGCCGGACAGCCCAAAAGACUCACAACAACACUGUGAUAUAUAUACACACUCCGCUUGCCUCAUUUCCAACAUACCUCUGAGGAUGCGUGCCAUAUAUGCAGGCUAAACGUUAGGAGAGAAUCCCACUGUAACAUGGCCAGACAGCCCGAAGGACUCACAACAACCCAGUGAUAUAUAUACACACUCCACUUGCCUCAUUUCUAACAGACCUCUGAACGAACCUCUGAGGAUGCGUGCCACAUAUGCAGGCUAAACGUUAGGAGAGAAUCCCACUGUAACAUGGCCAGACAGCCCGAAGGACUCACAACAACCCAGUGAUAUAUAUACACACUCCACUUGCCUCAUUUCUAACAGACCUCUGAACGAACCUCUGAGGAUGCGUGCCACAUAUGCAGGCUAAACGUUAGGAGAGAAUCCCACUGUAACAUGGCCAGACAGCCAGAAGGACUCACAACAACCCAGUGAUAUAUAUACACACUCCACUUGCCUCAUUUCCAACAGACCUCUGAACAAACUUCUGAGGAUGCGUGCCACAUAUGCAGGCUAAACGUCAGGAGCGAAUCCCAUUGGAACAUGGCCGGACAGACCGAAGGACUCACAACAACCCAGUGAUAUAUAUACACACUCCACUUGCCUCAUUUCCAACAGACCUCUGAACGAACUUCUGAGGAUGCGUGCCACAUAUGCAGGCUAAACGUUAGGAGCGAAUCCCAAUGUAACAUGGCUGGACAGCCCGAAGGACUCACAACAACCCAGUGAUAUAUAUACACACUCCACUUGCCUCAUUUCCAACAGACCUCUGAACAAACUUCUGAGGAUGCGUGCCACAUAUGCAGGCUAAACGUCAGGAGCGAAUCCCAUUGGAACAUGGCCGGACAGACCGAAGGACUCAGAACAACACAGUGAUAUAUAUACACACUCCACUUGCCUCAUUUCCAACAGACCUCUGAACUAACUUCUGAGGAUACCUGCCACAUAUCUUGUAAGCCGCUCCGAGCCCUAGGGGAGUGGCGGCAUAU
Molecule: long non-coding RNA, 2414 nt
Organism: Anolis carolinensis (green anole)
Lineage: Eukaryota; Metazoa; Chordata; Lepidosauria; Squamata; Anolidae
Exons: 4
Source: RefSeq, a predicted model, not a curated record